RNAcentral lists this long non-coding RNA (644 nucleotides) under Vulpes vulpes (red fox). Its description in RNAcentral is "lncRNA (ENSVVUG00000000182.1)". Lineage: Eukaryota; Metazoa; Chordata; Mammalia; Carnivora; Canidae. The record is from RNAcentral.
GACAGGAUUAUUUUAAUUAGAUAAGCUGUGGAGAUACCACUAUUGGGUAGGGCCAUUAUUGACCAGUCAAAAGUUACUUAUCACCUUGACUAAUUUUUCCAUCAGUUUAAUGCACAUGCACAUUUGGUGGUUGUUAUGUACCUAGAAUUCCAUCCAGUUGGUAUAUAUGGCCCAUAAUUCAUCUGUACUAUUAAGACAAACUUAGAUUCUACCAUAUCGCAGAGCUGAACACAUGAACCAGAAGUAUUUAUUCCUGUUCACCAAGUGGAAAUCACAAGGAAUGACAACCCACACUCUAGCGGGUAUUCUCAACUGCAAAAAUGAGCUCUGAGUCAAUAACUACCAAAUCAUUGAGGUGUGUGCCAGGACCAUCAGAGGCAACAAAUUGCUUGUCCCAAGGAAAAAUGGAUAUUGAAAGUAAAUUUGAUGAAUUUGCUUGGAGAUUUAAAUAAGGGUGCCACAUCUACAAGGACACCCUUUCAUAUAGAAACAAAAUUAUUCCAUGUGCAGCAUAAAGACAAUAUGUGGGAGUUUCCAUUCUGGAGUGAGAGAAUAGACGUACUUUUCAAUGCCUUCCUACUGAACACAAGUAAGAACCCUGCACAUUAUGUAUAAAUUAAACAUAAGAUUUUGGAAAGUAUUCU